Molecule: long non-coding RNA, 833 nt
Organism: Aedes albopictus (Asian tiger mosquito)
Lineage: Eukaryota; Metazoa; Arthropoda; Insecta; Diptera; Culicidae
Exons: 3
Source: RefSeq, a predicted model, not a curated record
GCCGUGCAUGACGUCGUCAAAAAAAAAAAUCGAGGCGAUCCUCACAACGGCAUCCGCAAACCGGUGAAAUCCCGACGGAAAAUCCACCCCAUCCGGAGGAAAACAACAAAUCGAGUCGUAACAUUGAAGGUGGCGGAUCCAGAAAAAAACGAGAGCGACCGCUGCGGCCGCCGAGAAGUUCGCAUCGACGAGGUCGGCAGGAUCAAUACAGCGAAAAAUCAGUCCUCGGAGCCAGCGACGGAAUCCGCAGAAGCCGGAAAACUACAAGGACAGGAGCUCCGCACUCGGCUGCACUGGGUAGAGACACCAAGAAACAAAAACAACAAAUUACUCGGCUCCCAAUGUUGACGGAAUAACAAAGGAUGUGGAAACUCAGUAUUCGGACUAUGGGCCCCUUUACAACGAUGACCCGCGUCCCACCGAUGGGGCAGCACAAGCAACCCAACGACACCACCGUCAAUCCGGAUACAAACAACCAAUGGAAUCUGGACCAGCUGUCGAAUGCCUCCACUGAAUCGACCGUCGAAUCGGCUAUGCAGGUCAACACCAUCGAGGCGGCCGUUCUGGUACGCCCACCGCGGCCACGACCAUGACGACGGCUCCCAGCAGCAGCCCCACUACCAUCAGCCCACGAUGCUCGAACAGCAAUGCCAAGCCACAACCUCUGCGACCCCACGGGGUGGACGCAAUCCAGCCCCGACCACCCCUCGCCUCGAACAAACAACAACCAGCAGCAAACCCACCUGCACCAACGCAUUAAGUGGGGACAGAUCACCGAGCCAUCGCAGGGACCAACCGAAUCAUCGGACGCCAGUACAAGUAUAAAGUACACG